This 147-nucleotide signal recognition particle RNA is filed under the name Pan paniscus (pygmy chimpanzee). Its description in RNAcentral is "Metazoan signal recognition particle RNA". It matches the Rfam family "Metazoan signal recognition particle RNA". Rfam says of the family: The signal recognition particle (SRP) is a universally conserved ribonucleoprotein. It is involved in the co-translational targeting of proteins to membranes. Lineage: Eukaryota; Metazoa; Chordata; Mammalia; Primates; Hominidae. RNAcentral also lists the same sequence under 1 other name. The record is from Rfam by way of RNAcentral.
GCCAGGCAUGGUGGCGCAUGCCUAUAGUCCCAGCCACUUGGGAGGCUGAGCUGGGAGGAUCACUUGAGCCCAGGAGUUCUGGGUGCAGUGAGCUAUGAUCACACCACUGCACUCCAGUCUGGGCAACAGAGUGAGACCCUGUCACUA